RNA transcript from Sarcophilus harrisii (Tasmanian devil), 4277 nucleotides. It is a transcript of the gene named kelch like family member 25, with no coding region annotated. Lineage: Eukaryota; Metazoa; Chordata; Mammalia; Dasyuromorphia; Dasyuridae. The transcript is spliced from 5 exons. The record is from RefSeq and is a predicted model, not a curated record.
CAGAGAGCGCGUUCUAGGGGUGGGCGAGGGGGAGGGGCAGGAGAGGCCGGGGAGAAACUGAAGGAGGAGGCAACAUGAGCAUCGUUCGGGCGAUGGGAGGUCACUGACUGGAAAGAGCCGCCGCGGGGACCUGGAAGUGGGAUCAGCGGACCAAGAAGUGCCCCCCGGAGCAGCCCUGCGGUCUGGACUUGACUGCGGGACGAUCCGCUGGAAGUGAGUUCCAUGUACGGGAGCCAGCGAUUCCUGGGAAAGAGGAAACACCGAGACAGAUUCACCUCAGCUGACUUAAUCAAAAUGUCUGUCAGCGUCCAUGAGAACCGCAAGUCCAGGACAAGCACAGGCUCUAUGAACAUCACCCUUUUCCACAAACCUUCCCACCCAGACUGUGUCUUGUCCCACCUCAACACCCUGAGGAAGCACUGUAUGUUCACAGAUGUCACUCUCUGGGCUGGGGACCGCUCAUUUCCCUGCCACCGGGCUGUGUUGGCCGCCUCUAGUUGCUAUUUCGAAGCCAUGUUCAGCCAUGGCCUACGAGAAAGUCUGGAUGACGCAGUCAACUUUCAUGAUAGUCUCCAUCCAGAAGUGCUUGAGCUCCUGCUGGACUUUGCCUACUCGUCCCGGAUCAUCAUCAAUGAGGAAAAUGCUGAAUCCCUGCUGGAAGCGGGGGACAUGCUCCAGUUCCAUGAUGUGCGAGAUGCUGCCGCUGAGUUCUUAGAGAAGAAUCUCUUCCCCUCCAACUGUCUGGGUAUGAUGCUCCUCUCAGAUGCCCACCAGUGCCGCCGCCUUUACGAGCUCUCUUGGCGCAUGUGCCUGGUACAUUUUGAGACGGUGCAGCAGAGUGAAGACUUCAAAAACCUCUCCAAGGACACCCUGUUGGACUUGAUCUCCAGUGAUGAGCUUGAGACAGAGGAUGAACGAGUAGUCUUUGAAGCCAUUAUUCAGUGGGUGAAACAUGAUUUGGAUGAGAGAAAAGUGUACCUCCCAGAGCUUCUACGCAGUGUACGGCUGGCCCUGCUGCCCUCUGAAAUCCUAAAGGAGGCCAUCACCUGUGAGGACCUUAUUAUGGCAGAUGAGCGUAACAAGCUUAUCAUGGACGAAGCUCUCCACUGUAAGAAGAAGAUUCUACAGAAUGACGGGGUGGUCACUAGCCCCUGUGCCCGACCCCGAAAGGCAGGCCACACUCUUCUGAUCCUUGGAGGCCAGACCUUCAUGUGUGACAAGAUCUACCAGGUGGACCACAAAGCAAAGGAAAUCAUCCCCAAGGCAGACUUGCCCAGUCCACGGAAGGAGUUCAGUGCCUGUGCCCUAGGCUGUAAGGUCUAUGUGACAGGGGGGAGGGGCUCUGAGAAUGGGGUCUCCAAAGAUGUCUGGGUGUAUGACACUGUCCAUGAAGAAUGGUCCAAGGCUGCUCCUAUGCUGAUUGCCCGUUUUGGUCAUGGCUCAGCUGAGCUGGAGAAUUGUCUUUAUGUAGUAGGGGGUCACACUGCAGUGGCUGGGGUCUUCCCAGCCUCCCCCUCUGUUUCUUUGAAGCAAGUAGAGAAGUACGACCCCGGAGCCAACAAGUGGACGAUGGUGGCUCCUUUAAGGGACGGAGUCAGCAAUGCUGCAGUGGUGAGUGCUAAGCUUAAGCUCUUUGUCUUUGGCGGCACGAGCAUUCACCGGGACAUGGUGUCCAAAGUUCAGUGCUAUGAUCCAUCAGACAACCGAUGGAUGAUCAAAGCGGAAUGUCCUCAGCCUUGGCGCUAUACAGCGGCUGCUGUCCUGGGCAGCCAGAUUUUUAUCAUGGGGGGUGACACAGAAUUCACGGCAGCUUCUGCCUACCGCUUUGAUUGCGAAACCAACCAGUGGACACGGAUUGGGGACAUGACAGCCAAGCGCAUGUCAUGCCAUGCUCUGGCCUCGGGGAACAAGCUCUAUGUGGUGGGUGGAUACUUUGGGACCCAGCGGUGUAAGACAUUAGACUGCUAUGACCCUACCUCAGACACGUGGACCUGCAUCACAACAGUGCCUUACUCACUCAUCCCCACAGCCUUUGUCAGCACUUGGAAACAUUUGCCUGCAUGAGAAGCCCUUAGGACAGUGACUUCAACCCCAGGAACUCAGACAGGUUGAACACUCUAUGCUGUCCCUUUCUCAGCACUGGAGAUAAACAAAAUGCUGCCAUCAUGCUUAGUCUCAUCUCGUGGCUGCAGCCUGCACCAUGAUGGAGGUACCCGGCCCUGUUCUCUCGGGGAGCCUUAGUACAACUACUCACGCUUUCCUCAUCUGAACCCUCCAGCACACAGAAGACUGAAGUGGAAUCCUCAAGAGCAGCACCCAAGAUGGGGAAGAAAUAGCAGCCUGCUGCCCUUCAGCCCACCGGAUAAUUAAAGCCUCUGGAGUUUUGAACAAGAAAAGAGAAGCUGCUUCCACAGAGAACUCUUGGGACCAAAGACCCUUUCAGCUACAGUUUGAGUUUGGUGAGGGGAGAUGGAGGCCAAGGGAGAGUGCUAGGGGGAGGGUAGUAUUUCACAUAUGGCAAAGAACUAAGUAUUUGCUUGUCUGUUUCACACAACACGCCUGCCCCACUAACCCUUUGAGGAUGGUGGGGAAAGAGGUAGCAGCAUCCUUGGUAGAGGGACAGGAGUGAGCCACUUGAGCAGAAGAGGGUGGGGACCUCUGGAGGGUACAUGGCCUCCAACACUGUGCACUAAGGUUUGCCAUUUCCUUCUGAGCUGGAAUUGCCAGCACAGCCUAAUACUGGGCCUAGAACCUGCUAAAUCAGGAAUGUUAUAAACCUCAUUUCAAAGCUUGUAACUUGGAUCAAGUGUUUCAGAUGCGACACACACCGGGUCACCCAGGAUGGGGGUGGGGAUGGGGAGGGAGCUUCUGAAGUCUUGGUGUUCUUGGACUUCUGGCUCUGUCAGGCUCCCGAGAGCUGAGGAGGGCAAAGGACUUUCAGGACUGAUAGAAGAUAGGAACCUAAAGGGGAAGGGCUGUGGCCAAGGAGGCAACUAAGCUUGUUGAAUGUGUCAGCCUUAGGAUGGCAUCAUCCCAAGCCCCAAAGGAAAGACCUCCCAAGACUGCAUCCAAGCCACCUCCUACCUUCUCCCCCAAAUCUCCCAGAACUGGGUAGCUCCGAGACAGACGUAGAGCCUUCAUGCUAACGUGAAAACGAGCCUCCCUGUGCUCUUUGCUGCCUGAUUCCCUCCUACACACCCGCAGAAGCAGCAAAUAAAAGGGUUAUAGAGAGAAUUGCCAGGCCUCCUAAGUCAUUGAUGUCCUCACUCCAGGCCCUCACUUCUGGCAGGAGCCACCAUCUGAUACUUCCUUAGAAGUCAGUUCCAGCUCAUGUCACUGUUUAACAAAUCUGCUUUUAAUGAUGUUGAAGCUUUUCCAGACCCAGUGGCACUGAUUUAAGGGAGAAGAAUUCUUCAUUUUUACAAGGGACUCAGGAGCACACUGAACCCUAUUGCAUCCCCAAAUUGUAGCUAUGUAGUGAGACCAUUGAGGGAACUGUGCCUGGCUUGUUAACCAUCUGCCAGUGUGAUGCUGACUCUAUUAGUCUGGCCCAAAUGACAAUGCAGUAACUUUAGAGAACAUUGCCUUUAUUCCCCCAGCCCUCCUGCCAGCCUCAUCUGGUAGUUUCUCUCUUUGCAAAGUAGGAUUGCUAGUCAGGAUCGCUUAGCCAUUGAGUUUGCGUUUUUGCCCCUUACUGGGUAAACAGCAGGUUAGGUGAAUCAUGGGUUCCUUUUGCUACAGAACUUUCCUGGGUUGCAAAAUGUUUUCCAUCCCCUAAUUAGCUCUGUAGAAGGGGUGAGCCCAUCACCUCUAUGAGUCAACUUAGAGUUCGAGGAAUUGUAUUGCCAGAGAUCCAGCAGACCUCUCCACAGUCCCACAGGAAACAGUGGAACCUAUACUAUUGAUUACAUAACUGAGAAGCAUCUAGCUAAUAUCCCGAGUGGGUGGUCAGAUUUUAUUCUGGCCCAGGGGUAAGAAAGUGACCUGGACGAACAUUGCAAGAUGACUUCCUGCCCAUGACUUUUGACAAGGAUGGGUUGGUUUGAAUCUGCCUCCACAGUUCCUUUUGACUUCCUUAUUGCUGGUUAGCUGACAAGAGCACACAGACUCCUCAUACACAGCCUUUGUAUGCACAAAAGACAAUUCUGUUGGUUUACUGAAAAUUGCGUAGUUUUUAUCCAGUUUUCUAACAAUAAAAAAUAUUAGGAAAUGAUAUAGUUUUUUGGGGGGGGUGAUGAGGGGAAAUGAGUGUGUGGCAAUAAAUUUUGUUUACUGUA